Anser brachyrhynchus (Pink-footed goose) is the source of this 1836-nucleotide long non-coding RNA. The record is from Ensembl. NCBI's taxonomy places the organism in Eukaryota, Metazoa, Chordata, Aves, Anseriformes, Anatidae.
AUGCAGCACCUCGUGCAUGCCCCGAUCUGGCUGGGAGCUGGAGCUGGAGAGUGUUUGCACAGCGCAGCAUCUGUGCACACACGCCCCUUGCAAACAGGGAUAGCAGCACCACAGGUACAAAAGAGUUCUGGCAUGACUGGGCUUCUGGGUACUACCAUGACGGCAAUGAUGUUAACUUUGAUUGGUGUUAAACCUCUGCUCAGUUCUUGGAUCUGUUAUCUUUACAUUUAAAUCUCUGACCCCCUCUCAAAUGUUUAUGGACUCACCAGUGCCUUAACCGAGCAGUAUGUUUCAUGUGUAAUAGCCACUUUGUAUACUAUACUAGCAUUAAAAACUGUUUUAAAUAGUAUGUAGAAAUCCAUAUGUGUCUGGAAUCCUGCUCUGCUUUUCAUGCAGAAAAAGAACAGGAGAAACAGCAUGUAUUUAUUAAAGCCAUAUUUCUUCAGACAGCUUAACCUCUGCUUUGUAAAUUGUAUUUAACAUCAGUGUCAUAUUCUGUCUUAAUCUGCUAUUGCAUUUUAAACCCUGUUCCCAUGUUGGUCUGGAGUGGUCCAUGCAAAUCAGUCCAGUGGACAGAAAACAGAAUGGCAUUAUAUGGCGGCUCCUUAGUGUUAUAUCCAAUUUUAUGCUUUGUUGAGAGCAGAAGUCACACUAUAACAAUCCCUCAAAGGCUCAAAGCUAAAGGAACAUUAAUCAACAGCAAGAGUAACUGACUAAAUAUAAUGUCCAUGUUGAAGGAAAAGAGCUUGUAUCUGGUUCCUUGCACUCCGUCUGAUGCCUGGGACUUUUAUCAACUAAGACUGAGGGGGAAUCUUUAAAAAGAAAUACUUGAGUAAGAGUGAUUUAUCAUGUGUUUGGGAAGACUCCACUGGGAAAGGUGACUGGCCAAGUCCAUGUUGACUAAGUAGAUCAAGAAUGAGUGCCACAGAUAUACCUCAGUUUUAAAUGCCUGUUUGCUGGUCUCAUUAAUCUGCUAAAUUACCCAGCUCAAAUUGCUUAUGUGUAAGCGUUACAUCAAGGUACACUAUUUUGUAUUAGCUGCCAUAUAAAAAGGAAACAGCCACCGAAGGUAGGAGAGAGUGAGGGUGAGUUAUAGGCUGUUAAAUAAGCCAGCAACAAAGUACUUACUCAUGGGGAACAAAAAUUGCCAAGAAAUAUUCACAUGGGCAUCUGAUAAUAUCUAAUUUGUUCCCAGAAUCACACAUCAUUGUUCCUGCAUGCUCAAGAGAGAUGCAAAAACAGCAAAGGAGAGAAACAAAUAUAUAGACAGACACACAAAUAAUUAACAUGCAUGCAAUCAUAGAGUCCAGUAUCAGAUCUAGAAUACAGUGCAGACGCAGCAUAAGAAAUGUUUAUUAUGAGCAAAGAUAAAAAAAACUUGACAUUAGGGCUAGCUGAUCGCAGUUAUGAAUAACAAUUCCUAAAUUAUCCAUGGCAAACGCUUCUUACAAAGGAAAUGAAUUGUUGCAACACAAUACAUCCUUGUUGUAUCGAUAUGAUUAGCUAGUUAUCCAUAACAUGUUGUAAUUUGUUUUGAUUUUUAAGUGUUCUUUAGUUGCAGAGCCUUAAUGAGGCUUCUCUAAAUUGAUUAGGAACUGCGAGAUACAGCAUGGUUCACAGAUUAUUUCAGAGAGCUGUCAAGAUCCUGUGACUUUCAUUUCAUUGGAUUUAAUGAUCGUUGGAAAAGGUGUGCAUUACAGCCAGAUACAAUCACAUUUGUCAGCAUGAUCCUUUUAAGUGCAAUUCAAUUAAAGUGUUAUUCUCUAAUUUUAUUAUUGCUCAAGCUGAGUGCUAAUGCUGGCUACCAAUAAAGCUACAGGUAGAUAAUGGUAUACA